Molecule: ribosomal RNA, 1514 nt
Filed under: metagenome
Description: bacterial SSU rRNA
Rfam family: Bacterial small subunit ribosomal RNA
Source: RNAcentral
AGAGUUUGAUCAUGGCUCAGAUUGAACGCUGGCGGCAGGCCUAACACAUGCAAGUCGAACGGUAACAGGAAGCAGCUUGCUGCUUCGCUGACGAGUGGCGGACGGGUGAGUAAUGUCUGGGAAGCUGCCUGAUGGAGGGGGAUAACUACUGGAAACGGUAGCUAAUACCGCAUAAUGUCGCAAGACCAAAGAGGGGGACCUUCGGGCCUCUUGCCAUCGGAUGUGCCCAGAUGGGAUUAGCUUGUUGGUGGGGUAACGGCUCACCAAGGCGACGAUCCCUAGCUGGUCUGAGAGGAUGACCAGCCACACUGGAACUGAGACACGGUCCAGACUCCUACGGGAGGCAGCAGUGGGGAAUAUUGCACAAUGGGCGCAAGCCUGAUGCAGCCAUGCCGCGUGUAUGAAGAAGGCCUUCGGGUUGUAAAGUACUUUCAGCGGGGAGGAAGGGAGUAAAGUUAAUACCUUUGCUCAUUGACGUUACCCGCAGAAGAAGCACCGGCUAACUCCGUGCCAGCAGCCGCGGUAAUACGGAGGGUGCAAGCGUUAAUCGGAAUUACUGGGCGUAAAGCGCACGCAGGCGGUUUGUUAAGUCAGAUGUGAAAUCCCCGGGCUCAACCUGGGAACUGCAUCUGAUACUGGCAAGCUUGAGUCUCGUAGAGGGGGGUAGAAUUCCAGGUGUAGCGGUGAAAUGCGUAGAGAUCUGGAGGAAUACCGGUGGCGAAGGCGGCCCCCUGGACGAAGACUGACGCUCAGGUGCGAAAGCGUGGGGAGCAAACAGGAUUAGAUACCCUGGUAGUCCACGCCGUAAACGAUGUCGACUUGGAGGUUGUGCCCUUGAGGCGUGGCUUCCGGAGCUAACGCGUUAAGUCGACCGCCUGGGGAGUACGGCCGCAAGGUUAAAACUCAAAUGAAUUGACGGGGGCCCGCACAAGCGGUGGAGCAUGUGGUUUAAUUCGAUGCAACGCGAAGAACCUUACCUGGUCUUGACAUCCACGGAAGUUUUCAGAGAUGAGAAUGUGCCUUCGGGAACCGUGAGACAGGUGCUGCAUGGCUGUCGUCAGCUCGUGUUGUGAAAUGUUGGGUUAAGUCCCGCAACGAGCGCAACCCUUAUCCUUUGUUGCCAGCGGUCCGGCCGGGAACUCAAAGGAGACUGCCAGUGAUAAACUGGAGGAAGGUGGGGAUGACGUCAAGUCAUCAUGGCCCUUACGACCAGGGCUACACACGUGCUACAAUGGCGCAUACAAAGAGAAGCGACCUCGCGAGAGCAAGCGGACCUCAUAAAGUGCGUCGUAGUCCGGAUUGGAGUCUGCAACUCGACUCCAUGAAGUCGGAAUCGCUAGUAAUCGUGGAUCAGAAUGCCACGGUGAAUACGUUCCCGGGCCUUGUACACACCGCCCGUCACACCAUGGGAGUGGGUUGCAAAAGAAGUAGGUAGCUUAACCUUCGGGAGGGCGCUUACCACUUUGUGAUUCAUGACUGGGGUGAAGUCGUAACAAGGUAACCGUAGAGGAACC